CGGAUCCAGUGCAUCGUGAGGGUGUGCACCUGCACACCCUGAAAUUUGAAAAUUUUCACCGGUACCCCUAUUGUUUUCUAAUUUUGACCACCCUGAAUAUUUUAUUUUGCACCUUGACCCCUUGACACCCAAAGUCUGAAACUCCACUCUCACAAUACAAUUUCACACUUCUCUCUACACUUCUCUCUAAACUAGUAUUCUCUCAUCUCAUGUCAAAACUAUUCACACAAACCACCGAAAAUCUGAUCUGAAGAUUCUGAACCGGCGGCGGCGACCACUCCAGCCACCACCACUGUCCAUGACCGCGCGAGAUCUCGUCCUCAGUCUCCUAUCUCUGUGCGAUUUUUCAGUGCAAUUUCUCCAUUUUUCUCUGCGAUUUUGUUGUGCGAAUUUCUCAGAUUUCUGUGCUAUUUCUCUCCCUAUUCAUCACCACAACCCUUCCUCACGAAGAUUCAGACAACAUUAGCAAGAUGAGAAACAGGAUUGGUGUAUGAAAUACUACCAUUGUAGAUGAGAAACAAGAUUGUACAGAGGAAGAUAAUAACUAAUCAUGCUAAAAUGAAAUACUAACACCAUUAUAAAUUGAGUACAAUGUAAUUUUUUGAGUAUAUGACUUUUAUAUAUAUGAUUAUACUUAUUUAUUAAAGUUUAAUAUUUUGCACCCA
Molecule: long non-coding RNA, 665 nt
Organism: Trifolium pratense (red clover)
Lineage: Eukaryota; Viridiplantae; Streptophyta; Magnoliopsida; Fabales; Fabaceae
Exons: 2
Source: RefSeq, a predicted model, not a curated record